GUUGGCUGUGGUCUAAGUUCCUUGGAACAGGACGUCGCAGAGGGUGAGAAUCCCGUAUGUGGCCGCCAGUCUUCGCCGUGUAAAGCCCCUUCGACGAGUCGAGUUGUUUGGGAAUGCAGCUCUAAAUGGGAGGUAAAUUUCUUCUAAAGCUAAAUAUUGGCCAGAGACCGAUAGCGCACAAGUAGAGUGAUCGAAAGAUGAAAAGCACUUUGGAAAGAGAGUCAAAAAGCACGUGAAAUUGUUGAAAGGGAAGCGCUUGCAGCCAGACUUGCUUGCAGUUGUUCAGCCGGGCUCUUGCCCGGUCUACUCUUCUGCUCGCAGGCCAGCAUCAGUCCGGGCGGUUGGAUAAAGGCCUAUUAAACGUACCUCCCCUCGGGGAGGACUUAUAGGGUAGGCGACAUGCAACCAGCCCGGAUUGAGGUCCGCGCAUCUGCUAGGAUGCUGGCGUAAUGGCUGUAAGCGGCCCGUCUUGAAACACGGACCAAGGAGUCUAACAUCUAUGCGAGUGUUUGGGUGUCAAGCCCGAGCGCGUAAUGAAAGUGAACGGAGGUGGGAACCUUUCGGGGUGCACCAUCGACCGAUCCUGAUGUCUUCGGAUGGAUUUGAGUAAGAGCAUAGCUGUUGGGACCCGAAAGAUGGUGAACUAUGCCUGAAUAGGGUGAAGCCAGAGGAAACUCUGGUGGAGGCUCGCAGCGGUUCUGACGUGCAAAUCGAUCGUCAAAUUUGGGCAUAGGGGCGAAAGACUA
This 746-nucleotide ribosomal RNA is filed under the name Angustimassarina quercicola. RNAcentral's name for it is "eukaryotic LSU rRNA". It matches the Rfam family "Eukaryotic large subunit ribosomal RNA", at positions 169 to 933 of the family's 3401-position model. Lineage: Eukaryota; Fungi; Ascomycota; Dothideomycetes; Pleosporales; Amorosiaceae. The record is from RNAcentral.